GGAGCUAAUACCGGAUAAUAUAUUGAACCGCAUGGUUCAAUAGUGAAAGACGGUUUUGCUGUCACUUAUAGAUGGAUCCGCGCCGCAUUAGCUAGUUGGUAAGGUAACGGCUUACCAAGGCAGCGAUGCGUAGCCGACCUGAGAGGGUGAUCGGCCACACUGGAACUGAGACACGGUCCAGACUCCUACGGGAGGGCAGCAGCUC
This 205-nucleotide ribosomal RNA is filed under the name uncultured Staphylococcus sp. RNAcentral describes it as "partial 16S ribosomal RNA". It matches the Rfam family "Bacterial small subunit ribosomal RNA", at positions 159 to 355 of the family's 1533-position model. The record is from RNAcentral. Lineage: Bacteria; Bacillati; Bacillota; Bacilli; Caryophanales; Staphylococcaceae.